Molecule: transfer RNA, 73 nt
Filed under: Climaconeis cf. scalaris
Lineage: Eukaryota; Bacillariophyta; Bacillariophyceae; Naviculales; Amphipleuraceae
Description: tRNA-Arg
Rfam family: tRNA
About the family: Transfer RNA (tRNA) molecules are approximately 80 nucleotides in length.
Source: RNAcentral
GAGCGUGUAGCUUAAUGGAUAGAGCAUCAGAUUCCGAUUCUGAAAGUUAAGGGUUCAAGUCCCUUCAUGCUCA